Molecule: long non-coding RNA, 2589 nt
Organism: Setaria italica (foxtail millet)
Lineage: Eukaryota; Viridiplantae; Streptophyta; Magnoliopsida; Poales; Poaceae
Exons: 3
Source: RefSeq, a predicted model, not a curated record
AUGCAGCAUAGUUUGAGAUCCAUAGGUGAUCUAAGCGAGGAGUUUGUUUCUUCAGACCCUUGAUGCCAUAGAAGGUUGCAUAGUGCAGAGACAGGAUAUCAGGAAUGAUGCAAACGGCGCAGUAGAUGAUUGCGAGAUGGCUCAGGGGAAGUACUGACCUGGGGAGGUAGUAACUGGAAUGAUAGAGACCAGUAUAAGAGGCCAAAAUGCACAUCACUGGAUGAGGCAAAUGCUGGGCACUGUAUGUUUCUGCGUCCUGCAACUUUCACGCAAUGCCAGAUGAUAAAAUUGGGACUUGACCUUGGAAAAUUAUAAAAUUAGAGAAAACAGGAGACCAAUUGGGUCAGUGGAUCUACACCUUGCCAACUGUAUGUUCAGUGUCGUAUAUACCUAUUGUAGGCAGGCAUGGUUCCACAAUGUUCAGCUCUAUGUAUAAUCAUUUAAAAAAUUUAGAUUGUAAAUGCAAUUAAUUCGAACAUAUACUCUAAUGUUGUAUCAUAGUAUAGUUUUAUCUUUGCGUACUUCACUUCUUUCGAAUAUUUAGAUAUAGAAAGGGCUCAGUUAGAAAUAAACAUCCUUUAUUCCCUGAUUUUCCCAAAAACAAACCAACUCCUAAAAAUUGGAACUUGCAAGGCAUAACUGAUCACAUGAAAGGAGUUCAGUGAGAACUCUUAAAAAUAUUGAGGCUAUGUAUUUUGCUAUUUCAAGUUUUUCCUAAGCCACAGCUAGUAUUGCCUAAAGAUAUGGAAUAGAAUUUUAUGAGAAAAUUUAUGGGUUCAAGUUGUGUAUAUAUGCAGAGGGGUAGAGAUGCUCACUUCAAAUUUUCAGAAGGAAACAUAUCAGUGAAUAUCAGUGAAUAAUUGUGAUGCCAUGUGAAUAUUCAGCAGUUAUUGCAUAAAGGAUUUUGAGAAAGAAAUGAUGGGUUUCUGAAGUGAUAGUUUUUUUUCUAACUUUUAAAGCAUAGCAAACUUACUAAAAUUAUUGAUGUCAAUGAUUCUCAAGAAUUAUUUUUGUCAAGCAAUGUGCCGAGACACAUCCGAAAACCACUUAAGCUUUCACCAUUCUUAGGACCAGUCUGAAGUUGCAGAAUGGAGAUCUCUUCUCAGAGAUGGACAGCAGUCAUCUUUUUGGGACAAAUAUUAACUUGAGUUUGCAUCAUUGCAUUUUUGAUAAAAGCAAAGGAAGAAAUGACUUCAUAUAUCACUAACCUGGGGAAGAGUCCGAACAUCUGGACCAUCAAAAUUUUGGGACUUGGGACCCAAUGGGAACACACAUGCAACCUGGAUGGACAACAAAACAAAAUUUCAAUAGCCGAGAGUAUCUUUAUAAGGUCUAAAGGGCUUUCUAUAAAGGAACACAUCUCAACUUAGCACCAUAGCAUAAAUUGAGAUAAGUGAAAAGUACAAGUUAGAUAAAGUGCAAGAAUGGAGAAAAAUCUGCAUCAAACUCUGAACAUGUAUAUAUAUCAGGCUUCUAUUGGAGAUCUCCGGUGCAUGUAUACAGCUUUGCAAAUAUUGCCACAUAUGAGUUACUAUAAUCUUCAAUAUACUAGAACAGGGAAGGAUGUUCAAGUAUUUCAAUAGCUGAAAUUCAAAACCAUGUUGACUGGUGUUCAUAAAAAUCAACAGGCCCACAUGAUUCAUUGAUAGCAAAUCACAGUUACAUGUAACUAUGUGGUGAUCUUUGCACCUCCAUGUCAAGGCUAGGAUUGUUUCAGAGAAGACAGAGCAAGUGGCGAAUCUGAAUGUAAAUAAAAAAAAACAGCCAGACAGCUUCAGCAUUUACAAAACAAAAGUAGAGUACAAAUUACCAGGGGAAACAUAAAAUCAAAGUUGUGCAAAUUGUUGUGGCUAGCAUCCCAUUUCCAUUUGACUAAAACUUAACGCUGUGCUGUCCACACUGCAUGGUUUGUUCAGGUUGCCUCAGCAGGUUAUAUCUGCAUUCUCUUGGAAAUAUAAGAAAGUUUUUUGCCCUUGCCAGACAGCUUCAUUAGCAACAUGUGUGAGCAGGAUGUGCUUUAAAGUUUUGGAGUCAGAUAGUGACCACAGCAAUUUUUGACAGUAAAUGGUAUCGGGAAUAAUAAAAAUUUUCUUACUCUCAUGAUCUCAUCUGAGGUAAGCUAACCUAAUCUUCUGACAUCUAAUCUCAGCUCUAAGAUGCAUGGCUGUUGUGUGCUAAUCAACUUCUCUUCAAAGAUGUCCAUCAGGAAACCUGUAUAUGGCCUUCCUGAGGCAAUUCCAGUUGAAAUCAAUUUUUAACAUACCAAAGAAAGCAAAUGGAGAAAUACCGCACAGACAAGGGAAGAAUUGUAAUAGAUUAUGUUAAUAGAACUUUGUUCAUAUUAUUUUAACUAUUCAGUGAAUGACUGAUACUCGAUGAUAUAGAUUAUAUGUCAAUUACAUGGAGUGUAGUGCCAUCAUAUCCGUGCAUGUGCAACAAACAAAGUAUAAACCUCUUGAAGUUUUGUAUUUCCUCAAAUGUUUUGAACAAAAUUGAGCGAGUGCAGUCCAUUUAAUAUCAAAUUCCAAUACCUUUAACAAGAGAGAAAAAAGACCUCAAGAACUUAGUUUAAAUCAUGAAAAAUUAGCC